UACGUAGGAGGCGAGCGUUGUCCGGAAUACUGGGCGUAAAGCGUGCGCAGGCGGUUAUGUAAGACAGGUGUGAAAUCCCCGGGCUUAACCUGGGAACUGCAUUUGUGACUGCAUAGCUAGAGUACGGUAGAGGGGGAUGGAAUUCCGCGUGUAGCAGUGAAAUGCGUAGAUAUGCGGAGGAACACCGAUGGCGAAGGCAAUCCCCUGGACCUGUACUGACGCUCAUGCACGAAAGCGUGGGGAGCAAACAGG
This 252-nucleotide ribosomal RNA is filed under the name uncultured bacterium. RNAcentral's name for it is "partial 16S ribosomal RNA". It matches the Rfam family "Bacterial small subunit ribosomal RNA", at positions 524 to 776 of the family's 1533-position model. The record is from RNAcentral.